Molecule: ribosomal RNA, 497 nt
Filed under: uncultured bacterium
Lineage: Bacteria
Description: partial 16S ribosomal RNA
Rfam family: Bacterial small subunit ribosomal RNA
Source: RNAcentral
GAUGAACGCUGGCGGCGUGCCUAAUACAUGCAAGUCGAGCGAACAGACGAGGAGCUUGCUCCUUUGACGUUAGCGGCGGACGGGUGAGUAACACGUAGGUAACCUACCUAUAAGACUGGGAUAACUUCGGGAAACCGGAGCUAAUACCGGAUAAUAUUUCGAACCGCAUGGUUCGAUAGUGAAAGAUGGCUUUGCUAUCACUUAUAGAUGUACCUGCGCCGUAUUAGCUAGUUGGUAAGGUAACGGCUUACCAAGGCAACGAUACGUAGCCGACCUGAGAGGGUGAUCGGCCACACUGGAACUGAGACACGGUCCAGACUCCUACGGGAGGCAGCAGUAGGGAAUCUUCCGCAAUGGGCGAAAGCCUGACGGAGCAACGCCGCGUGAGUGAUGAAGGUCUUCGGAUCGUAAAACUCUGUUAUUAGGGAAGAACAAACGUGUAAGUAACUGUGCACGUCUUGACGGUACCUAAUCAGAAAGCCACGGCUAACUACGUG